Molecule: ribosomal RNA, 465 nt
Filed under: uncultured ammonia-oxidizing beta proteobacterium
Lineage: Bacteria; Pseudomonadati; Pseudomonadota; Betaproteobacteria
Description: bacterial SSU rRNA
Rfam family: Bacterial small subunit ribosomal RNA
Source: RNAcentral
GGAGAAAAGCAGGGGAUCGUAAGACCUUGCGUUAAUGGAGCGGCCGAUAUCUGAUUAGCUAGUUGGUGAGGUAAAGGCUCACCAAGGCGACGAUCAGUAGCUGGUUUGAGAGAACGACCAGCCACACUGGAACUGAGACACGGUCCAGACUCCUACGGGAGGCAGCGGUGGGGAAUUUUGGACAAUGGGGGCAACCCUGAUCCAGCCAUUCCGCGUGAGUGAAGAAGGCCUUCGGGUUGUAAAGCUCUUUCGCAAGGGAAGAAAACUUAUGAUCGAAUAAAUCAUGAGGUUGACGGUACCUUGAUAAGAAGCACCGGCUAACUACGUGCCAGCAGCCGCGGUAAUACGUAGGGUGCGAGCGUUAAUCGGAAUUACUGGGCGUAAAGCGUGCGCAGGCGGUUUUGUAAGUCGGAUGUGAAAUCCCCGGGCUCAACCUGGGAACUGCGUUUGAAACUACAAAGCUAG